This 1173-nucleotide ribosomal RNA is filed under the name Escherichia coli. RNAcentral describes it as "23S ribosomal RNA". It matches the Rfam family "Bacterial large subunit ribosomal RNA", at positions 1 to 1215 of the family's 2925-position model. Lineage: Bacteria; Pseudomonadati; Pseudomonadota; Gammaproteobacteria; Enterobacterales; Enterobacteriaceae. The record is from RNAcentral.
GGUUAAGCGACUAAGCGUACACGGUGGAUGCCCUGGCAGUCAGAGGCGAUGAAGGACGUGCUAAUCUGCGAUAAGCGUCGGUAAGGUGAUAUGAACCGUUAUAACCGGCGAUUUCCGAAUGGGGAAACCCAGUGUGUUUCGACACACUAUCAUUAACUGAAUCCAUAGGUUAAUGAGGCGAACCGGGGGAACUGAAACAUCUAAGUACCCCGAGGAAAAGAAAUCAACCGAGAUUCCCCCAGUAGCGGCGAGCGAACGGGGAGCAGCCCAGAGCCUGAAUCAGUGUGUGUGUUAGUGGAAGCGUCUGGAAAGGCGCGCGAUACAGGGUGACAGCCCCGUACACAAAAAUGCACAUGCUGUGAGCUCGAUGAGUAGGGCGGGACACGUGGUAUCCUGUCUGAAUAUGGGGGGACCAUCCUCCAAGGCUAAAUACUCCUGACUGACCGAUAGUGAACCAGUACCGUGAGGGAAAGGCGAAAAGAACCCCGGCGAGGGGAGUGAAAAAGAACCUGAAACCGUGUACGUACAAGCAGUGGGAGCACGCUUAGGCGUGUGACUGCGUACCUUUUGUAUAAUGGGUCAGCGACUUAUAUUCUGUAGCAAGGUUAACCGAAUAGGGGAGCCGAAGGGAAACCGAGUCUUAACUGGGCGUUAAGUUGCAGGGUAUAGACCCGAAACCCGGUGAUCUAGCCAUGGGCAGGUUGAAGGUUGGGUAACACUAACUGGAGGACCGAACCGACUAAUGUUGAAAAAUUAGCGGAUGACUUGUGGCUGGGGGUGAAAGGCCAAUCAAACCGGGAGAUAGCUGGUUCUCCCCGAAAGCUAUUUAGGUAGCGCCUCGUGAAUUCAUCUCCGGGGGUAGAGCACUGUUUCGGCAAGGGGGUCAUCCCGACUUACCAACCCGAUGCAAACUGCGAAUACCGGAGAAUGUUAUCACGGGAGACACACGGCGGGUGCUAACGUCCGUCGUGAAGAGGGAAACAACCCAGACCGCCAGCUAAGGUCCCAAAGUCAUGGUUAAGUGGGAAACGAUGUGGGAAGGCCCAGACAGCCAGGAUGUUGGCUUAGAAGCAGCCAUCAUUUAAAGAAAGCGUAAUAGCUCACUGGUCGAGUCGGCCUGCGCGGAAGAUGUAACGGGGCUAAACCAUGCACCGAAGCUGCGGCAGCGACGCU